RNAcentral lists this ribosomal RNA (1676 nucleotides) under Proteus sp. PR00174. RNAcentral describes it as "partial 23S ribosomal RNA". It matches the Rfam family "Bacterial large subunit ribosomal RNA", at positions 1270 to 2925 of the family's 2925-position model. The record is from RNAcentral. Lineage: Bacteria; Pseudomonadati; Pseudomonadota; Gammaproteobacteria; Enterobacterales; Morganellaceae.
AUGCUGGAGGUAUCAGAAGUGCGAAUGCUGACAUAAGUAACGAUAAUGCGGGUGAAAAACCCGCACGCCGGAAGACCAAGGGUUCCUGUCCAACGUUAAUCGGGGCAGGGUGAGUCGACCCCUAAGGCGAGGCUGAAAAGCGUAGUCGAUGGGAAACGGGUUAAUAUUCCCGUACUGGUGGUAACUGCGAUGGGGGAACGGAGAAGGCUAGGUUGUCCGGGCGACGGUCGUCCCGGUUCAAGCAUGUAGGCAGAGUGAUUAGGCAAAUCCGGUCACUUAAUGCUGAGGUGUGAUGACGAGCCACUAAGGUGGUGAAGCAAUUGAUGCCCUGCUUCCAGGAAAAGCCUCUAAGCUUCAGGUUACCAACAAUCGUACCCCAAACCGACACAGGUGGUCAGGUAGAGAAUACUCAGGCGCUUGAGAGAACUCGGGUGAAGGAACUAGGCAAAAUGGUGCCGUAACUUCGGGAGAAGGCACGCUGGCGGUAAGUGAAGUCCCUCGCGGACGGAGCCGAAGCCAGUCGAAGAUACCAGCUGGCUGCAACUGUUUAUUAAAAACACAGCACUGUGCAAACACGAAAGUGGACGUAUACGGUGUGACGCCUGCCCGGUGCUGGAAGGUUAAUUGAUGGGGUUAUCCUUAGGGAGAAGCUCUUGAUCGAAGCCCCAGUAAACGGCGGCCGUAACUAUAACGGUCCUAAGGUAGCGAAAUUCCUUGUCGGGUAAGUUCCGACCUGCACGAAUGGCGUAAUGAUGGCCAGGCUGUCUCCACCCGAGACUCAGUGAAAUUGAACUCGCUGUGAAGAUGCAGUGUACCCGCGGCAAGACGGAAAGACCCCGUGAACCUUUACUAUAGCUUGACACUGAACAUUGAGCCUUGAUGUGUAGGAUAGGUGGGAGACUAUGAAGUGUGGACGCCAGUCUGCAUGGAGUCAACCUUGAAAUACCACCCUUUAACGUUUGAUGUUCUAACCUAGGCCCGUGAUCCGGGUCGGGGACCGUGUCUGGUGGGUAGUUUGACUGGGGCGGUCUCCUCCUAAAGAGUAACGGAGGAGCACGAAGGUUGGCUAAGCAUGGUCGGACAUCAUGCGGUUAGUGCAAAGGCAUAAGCCAGCUUGACUGUGAGAGUGACGGCUCGAGCAGGUACGAAAGUAGGUCUUAGUGAUCCGGUGGUUCUGAAUGGAAGGGCCAUCGCUCAACGGAUAAAAGGUACUCCGGGGAUAACAGGCUGAUACCGCCCAAGAGUUCAUAUCGACGGCGGUGUUUGGCACCUCGAUGUCGGCUCAUCACAUCCUGGGGCUGAAGUAGGUCCCAAGGGUAUGGCUGUUCGCCAUUUAAAGUGGUACGCGAGCUGGGUUUAGAACGUCGUGAGACAGUUCGGUCCCUAUCUGCCGUGGGCGUUGGAAGAUUGAGAGGGGUUGCUCCUAGUACGAGAGGACCGGAGUGAACGCACCACUGGUGUUCGGGUUGUCAUGCCAAUGGCAUUGCCCGGUAGCUAAGUGCGGAAGAGAUAACCGCUGAAAGCAUCUAAGCGGGAAACUUGCCUCGAGAUGAGUCUUCCCUGUCACCUUGAGUGACCUAAAGGAACGUUUAAGACUAAGACGUUGAUAGGCUGGGUGUGUAAGCGUAGCGAUACGUUGAGCUAACCAGUACUAAUGAACCGUGAGGCUUAACCUG